This 274-nucleotide long non-coding RNA is filed under the name Ananas comosus (pineapple). RNAcentral's name for it is "long non-coding RNA (ACOM_LNC016635)". The record is from RNAcentral. Lineage: Eukaryota; Viridiplantae; Streptophyta; Magnoliopsida; Poales; Bromeliaceae.
GGGUUUCCCCUGUACUGCGGACAGAGUCUCCCCUGUACAUUCAAGGCAUAGCAAUCAAUACAAUGUGCGAAGUUCCAACCAGGAACACAUUUCACUCAAGAUUGCAUAAUGGAAGGUAUCAACCAACAUAAACACAUCCUAUAUUAUUACAUUCAUUCACAUUAGAUUCAUUUUACAUCACAAUUACAAAAUACAUUCUUUUUAGCUUCCAAAUACAAUCUAGCUUUAACAUUAUUAUUACAACUUGAUCCUUUUCGUUUUCUUGCAUCCCUAA